This 413-nucleotide ribosomal RNA is filed under the name uncultured bacterium. Its description in RNAcentral is "bacterial SSU rRNA". It matches the Rfam family "Bacterial small subunit ribosomal RNA", at positions 505 to 916 of the family's 1533-position model. The record is from RNAcentral.
GUGCCAGCCGCCGCGGUAAAACGUAGGAGGCAAGCGUUAUCCGGAUUUACUGGGCGUAAAGCGCGUGCAGGCGGUUUGGAAAGUUGGAUGUGAAAGCUCCCGGCUUAACUGGGAGAGGUCGUUCAAAACUUCCAGACUAGAGGAUGGUAGAGGGAGGUGGAAUUCCGGGUGUAGUGGUGAAAUGCGUAGAUAUCCGGAGGAACACCAGUGGCGAAAGCGGCCUCCUGGACCAUUUCUGACGCUCAGACGCGAAAGCUAGGGGAGCAAACGGGAUUAGAGACCCCGGUAGUCCUAGCUGUAAACCAUGUAGACUUGGCGUCGGUGGGUUUAAAUCCAUCGGUGUCGAAGCUAACGCGAUAAGUCUACCGCCUGGGGACUACGGCCGCAAGGUUAAAACUUAAAGGAAUUGGCGG